RNAcentral lists this long non-coding RNA (1030 nucleotides) under Bos indicus x Bos taurus (hybrid cattle). RNAcentral's name for it is "lncRNA (ENSBIXG00005013347.1)". The record is from RNAcentral. Lineage: Eukaryota; Metazoa; Chordata; Mammalia; Artiodactyla; Bovidae.
CCGGCGGCCACCACGUCACCCCUCCCUUCGCAGGGUCCUCUUCCUUUUCUCUGACUCUGCUUCGGAGAGUGCUUCCUUAGCUUCGGGAAGAGGCUGUAAUCUAACUCAUCGUCUGUUUGCUCUGAAAACCAGCGUGGACGUGCAGAGGCCGACUGGAUCACCGUCAGUAACCGUGCUGCCAGUCCGAGAAGCCAGCCCGGCCUCUGAAGCGUACGACCUUGAGCUGCACAAGGACAAGCGCAGACCAAGGGAUGCUCUCUGGAUGAAGAUGCUCCAAGAGAAAAUGAAUACGCAGCAGAGGCAGAGGAAGACCCCCAGCCUCGGCUCUCAGCGGGACCUGGAGAGCCAGCGGAGAGAGGACAAGAUUAUCUGUAAAUCAGAUAAGAAGGAUUCUCAAAGUAAAAGAUAUCUUAGUCGCUUACAUCAGAUGUAUUCCACUUCGCUCGCCAACAUGGAGUUCUCCAGGAGCCUGCUGGAGGCGAGCCGCCGGGGUGCAGACGUGGGCGCGGACGGCAGAGCCGGCGGUCUGUGGGACCCCGCGUUCCUCAGUGGACAUGGGCAGCACCAGGUGCGGCCCCCGGAGAGGCGGCCUGAGGGUGCCCACUGGGCCGCUGGUCGUCAGCGCGAAGCCCGGCCUCCUCUCAUCUUCCUGAGAUGCGACAGCCUGCCUGGCAGGAAGAAAGAUUCCAAUGAGAAGGCAAGAGGACACGCAGCAGCCCUGGGUGGCAUGAGUAACCUUCCAGAACAAAUGAGGAGUAAGCCUGCCUCUCCAGGGAUGACCACAGCACCCCUCACCCUGGAACAAGAGGCUAAGACAGCAAGUCGAUACUGGACUAACUAUGUGGAUUGAGAAAGCGAAUGUAGUGUCUCACCUGCAUGAAAAGAAUGAAGAAAUGUUGAAACUCCCCCCAAAAUAAUUAAAUGGCAGAUUUCUUUUUCUUCAAAUUUAUGACAAGAAAAUAUGGUAUUAUCUAGUAAAUAAUAAUAUAAACCCAGAAAUAUGAAUAAAAAUCAGUAGAAAUAAGAAUCA